CCCUGGCUGGCUCAGUCAGUAGAGCAUGAGACUCUUGAUCUCAAGGUUGUGAGUUUGUGCCCUAUAUCAGGAA
Molecule: transfer RNA, 73 nt
Filed under: Ailuropoda melanoleuca (giant panda)
Lineage: Eukaryota; Metazoa; Chordata; Mammalia; Carnivora; Ursidae
Rfam family: tRNA
About the family: Transfer RNA (tRNA) molecules are approximately 80 nucleotides in length. Their secondary structure includes four short double-helical elements and three loops (D, anti-codon, and T loops). Further hydrogen bonds mediate the characteristic L-shaped molecular structure. tRNAs have two regions of fundamental functional importance: the anti-codon, which is responsible for specific mRNA codon recognition, and the 3' end, to which the tRNAs corresponding amino acid is attached (by aminoacyl-tRNA synthetases). tRNAs cope with the degeneracy of the genetic code in two manners: having more than one tRNA (with a specific anti-codon) for a particular amino acid; and 'wobble' base-pairing, i.e. permitting non-standard base-pairing at the 3rd anti-codon position.
Source: Rfam by way of RNAcentral